GCGUGGUUAGCUCAGCGGUAGAGCAUCGCCUUCACACGGCGGGGGUCAUUGGUUCAAACCCAAUACCACGUA
RNAcentral lists this transfer RNA (72 nucleotides) under Treponema saccharophilum DSM 2985. It matches the Rfam family "tRNA". Rfam says of the family: Transfer RNA (tRNA) molecules are approximately 80 nucleotides in length. Their secondary structure includes four short double-helical elements and three loops (D, anti-codon, and T loops). Further hydrogen bonds mediate the characteristic L-shaped molecular structure. tRNAs have two regions of fundamental functional importance: the anti-codon, which is responsible for specific mRNA codon recognition, and the 3' end, to which the tRNAs corresponding amino acid is attached (by aminoacyl-tRNA synthetases). tRNAs cope with the degeneracy of the genetic code in two manners: having more than one tRNA (with a specific anti-codon) for a particular amino acid; and 'wobble' base-pairing, i.e. permitting non-standard base-pairing at the 3rd anti-codon position. The record is from Rfam by way of RNAcentral. Lineage: Bacteria; Pseudomonadati; Spirochaetota; Spirochaetia; Treponematales; Treponemataceae.